CCUGAACGCUGGCGGCGUGGCUAAGACAUGCAAGUCGCACGGGCCUGGUAACAGGUCAGUGGCGAACGGGUGAGUAAUGUAUCGCUAACGUACCCUGGACUUUGGGAUAGCUCUCCGAAAGGGGAGGUAAUACCAGAUGAGACCACAACCUCGCAUGGGGUGGUGCUCAAAGGUCCGCCGGUCUGGGAGCGGGCGAUAUCGUAUCAGCUAGUUGGUGCGGGUAACGGCCCACCAAGGCGACGACGCGUAGCCGGACUGAGAGGUCGGUCGGCCACAUCGGGACUGAGACACUGCCCGGACUCCUACGGGGGCUGCAGUAACGAAUCUUCCCCAAUGCACGCAAGUGUGAGGGAGCGACGCCGCGUGGAGG
This 370-nucleotide ribosomal RNA is filed under the name uncultured bacterium. Its description in RNAcentral is "bacterial SSU rRNA". It matches the Rfam family "Bacterial small subunit ribosomal RNA", at positions 30 to 407 of the family's 1533-position model. The record is from RNAcentral.